Engraulis encrasicolus (European anchovy) is the source of this 722-nucleotide long non-coding RNA. RefSeq lists it as uncharacterized. The transcript has 3 exons. NCBI's taxonomy places the organism in Eukaryota, Metazoa, Chordata, Actinopteri, Clupeiformes, Engraulidae. The record is from RefSeq and is a predicted model, not a curated record.
AAUAAUAAAAUGUAGUGAAUUGAAACACUUAAUAUAUAAUUAAAAAGUUUAGAUAAUUAACAAUAUAAAACAAACAAGAUCAUAUUAUUUAAAAUGUAUGUGAUUAGUUUUCAUAAAAGUUAUGUGAAUUGGGAAAACUGAGGAUGCAACUCCAGUCCAGAGGUGGCGCUACUUGCUGCACAUCACGGUUGUUCACAGCCAAACGUUUGAGCGCUGCAUUUCUACUUCCUGUUGCCCUUCAACUGUGUGGGGAGUGGAGCGAGAUCAAUGUUAUGGUAAGAAAUCUAAAGCCAUCCUACAUCCAAUUUCUUCAAAUUGUGUCGAAAUUGUGUAGUUUAUAUUAGAUGGAUACUAUUUGGUUUGAUUUCUGUUCACAUUUCCGUAGUUUGUUAUUGCUGUAGCCUAAACGGUUAAAUCCUGCAUGGCAGGUGUUCCAGUGCAUGUGUGCUUCAGGCUAGCGGUUCUUUGGCAACUUGGCUUGUUUGUUACUUCUCUACAGGUCGACAGUAAACUAAACCAACCUUGAAAUUGGUUAUUAUGCUGUUUGAAACGACACAAAGCCACAAGUGAUUGUCAUACAAAACUAUUGUGGUAUUUUUGUCAUUCUCCUCAACGGGACAUCCAUGUGGCGACAUGGCUGGUAUUAUCUCCGUGUUCAAUCUGGUCAAGCAGAUGAGGGGCCUUCAUUUACUGCCGACAUAGAUGAGGUUCUGAUCAAGAAG